AGCAGCAGCACGGUAAUACGUAGGGUGCGAGCGUUAAUCGGAAUUACUGGGCGUAAAGCGUGCGCAGGCGGUUUUGUAAGACAGGCGUGAAAUCCCCGGGCUCAACCUGGGAAUGGCGCUUGUGACUGCAAAGCUAGAGUGCGGCAGAGGGGGAUGGAAUUCCGCGUGUAGCAGUGAAAUGCGUAGAUAUGCGGAGGAACACCGAUGGCGAAGGCAAUCCCCUGGGCCUGCACUGACGCUCAUGCACGAAAGCGUGGGGAGCAAACAGGAUUAGAUACCCCCGUAGUCCCUGUCUCUUAUACA
This 303-nucleotide ribosomal RNA is filed under the name uncultured bacterium. RNAcentral's name for it is "partial 16S ribosomal RNA". It matches the Rfam family "Bacterial small subunit ribosomal RNA", at positions 510 to 808 of the family's 1533-position model. The record is from RNAcentral.